This is a long non-coding RNA of Sycon ciliatum, 1900 nucleotides long. RefSeq lists it as uncharacterized. NCBI's taxonomy places the organism in Eukaryota, Metazoa, Porifera, Calcarea, Leucosolenida, Sycettidae. The transcript has 6 exons. The record is from RefSeq and is a predicted model, not a curated record.
ACUGCCAUAUCGGUGGUGGUGUAACGACUUUUACGUUACGGCCGUUAUUACUAAUCUAUCUUCAUUCAGGCUAGCUUAGCUGGGACAGUCGGCGGCAAAAAAUUGACCCAUGAAAUCAUUUGAACGAUUUCCUUAGGUAUUUUUUAUAAUUGUUUUGUUAGGAUUUUAUUCACUGUGUGCAUCUACUCAAUCUCCGUUCGACCAUGAUUCAGUGCUCACAUUCUAAUCUCUCCUUCUUCGAGUGUUUGCAAUGUCUCACAAUGUUAGGGUACCGGGUAGUACUGGCGUGGUGAUGCCGCCACUGAUUUUCGUGACCGUGCGCUACUGGCGCGGUGAUGCCGCCACUGAAUUUCGUGACCGUGCGCUACGUUUUGGAAACUGAGGCUUUGUGACGAGCGAACAGCUUUUCGCUUACUAGUUCAAGCGACCGCUAACAGCUGUGAACACCAAUCUUGUCAGGAGCACGGCACAUCUUCCGGAUAAUAGUAUCAGCGUUGUUAUGGCCAUGGCCUAACUCUCUUCACCUAGAGCUGUGGAAUUCUACUCCCUCCACAGUCCCCCACCCGACGUCUAAUGGCUAGUUUUGAAUGUAGCUUUGGGUGGACAUGCGAGUCCCUGUAACAGCAAGAGAAGUUGCUACAAACUUCACGGAACGUCUACAAGAACAUUGUCAUGGGUCCAUGGACCAGAGCUGAACUCUGCUUGGUUACAACUGCCUCAUAGCAAGCAAUUUUGGAACAACAAUUUCAGCCAAUGGCUGCACACAGUGACAAUUGGAUGUAGUUCUUGUUUCUGCAUGGAGUGGCUGCUGUUUGUCCAUGGACUGGCUGCUGUUUGUCCAUGGAAUGGCUGCUGUUUGGCCACAGAAUGCCUGCUAUUUUGCCACGGCAUGCCUGCUGCUUGGACACGGAAUGCCUGACAUUUGGCCGCGGAAUGCCUGACGUUUGGCCUCGGAAUGCCUGACCUUUGCCCACGGAAAGCCUGACGUUUGGACACAGAAUGGCUGCACGGUGGUUUCGGUACGCUUGGCACGUAAAUACCUGCAAACAUGUACAAGUGUCUCUGCAAGGAAACGGAUGGAGUUCAUGUCCACGGGUCACUUUGCUAGUGACUGAAAGGAGAAGAUCUACCGGCAUACUUCUGGAAACGUUCUCCUCACCUCCAGAAGCGCCGUUCAUAUCAAUAUUCACAGCCAUACUUGUUCCUGUGUUGCCAGCUGCUACAUUCUGUGAUCCAAUGGACAUUCUACCAAAAGAUCUACCGGCAUACUUCUGGAAACUUUCUCCUCACCUCCAGAAGCGCCGUUCAUUUCAAUAUUCACAGGGCCAUACUUGUUCCUGUGUUGCCAGCUGCUACAUUCUGUGAUCCAAUGGACAUUCUACCAAAAGAUCUACCGGCAUACCUCUGGAAACUUUCUCCUCAUCUCCAGAAGCGCCGUUCAUUUCAAUAUUCACAGCCAUACUUGUUCCUGUAUUGCCAGCUGCUACAUUCUGGGAUCCAAUGGAAAUUCUACCAAAUUGGCCAGGUUCACCGGCAGUGUUUUCGUGAAGUCCUGAAAAGAGGUCUUGUUCGCAGACAAGGGCACACAGCCUUGUCAUGGACUUGGGGCGUCAAUGGCUGCAUAUGGCAACUGCUAGUUUGUCUGAAAACUACAUCUCACAACCUCAGUGGAUCCAGCUUGCCCAGUAUUGGAGAGACUCUGAUGAUCUUAGCCAUCCGAAACCACCAAGCCAACUGAAGUUGAGAGUAUUAUGUUGUCUGAACCUGUCAUCUCCCUGCCGUUCUUGUGUUCUGUGUGCGUAUGGUGAUGGGUGUGUCAUCAGCUAAUGCAUGGCUGACUAGCUACACUCCCCAGCAUGCACUCUCUCAUACUUGACUCUAAGGCAAAGUGACUGAGUAG